Long non-coding RNA from Eucalyptus grandis, 501 nucleotides. RefSeq lists it as uncharacterized. The record is from RefSeq and is a predicted model, not a curated record. The transcript is spliced from 2 exons. Lineage: Eukaryota; Viridiplantae; Streptophyta; Magnoliopsida; Myrtales; Myrtaceae.
AGGAGUGGAAUUAUACAAGAAAAGAUAUUUAGCAUGGGUGAGGCGCUCGACCGGUCAAGAAAGUUGGAUAUGAAUGAAGGGAAGCUCUUGAUUGAAGAAUUGAUGAUCGAACUUCAAAAAAGAAAACUCCAAAAAGGAAAUCACCAUCGCUUCGAAGAAUUUGGGCCUACAAAGAAUCUGUUAUUUCACUCAUUGUAGAGAGAUCUCGUGACUUGCUCGUAGAACAUGCGAAACUCUUGCGGGUUUCGCGAGGGCACAGGGGAAGGGCACGCGAAAGGAGGGGACGCAAAUCCCAUGCUUCUCGAAAGAUGCUGAUGAGAGGCUAGACGAAGCCCGAGUCAUUCCUCGUGGCGUUGCAAAUGUCAUCAUCGAAGUCAAAGCUAAACUAAAGAAGAGGGAAAGAUCCGAGCAUUUUGCAAAUUGUGGUGGGCGUUUGACAAAAUGCUCGUAUGAGUUGAAACUGUCUUCCAGUGCAUGAAAUAGAAGCGGCAUGUUACUUUG